CUUUCUUUGCUGGCGACCGGCGCACGGUGAGUAACACGUAUCCAACCUGCCCUUUACUCGGGGAUAGCCUUUCGAAAGAAAGAUUAAUACCCGAUAGCAUAAUGAUUCCGCAUGGUUUCAUUAUUAAAGGAUUCCGGUAAAGGAUGGGGAUGCGUUCCAUUAGGUUGUUGGUGAGGUAACGGCCCACCAAGCCUUCGAUGGAUAGGGGUUCUGAGAGGAAGGUCCCCCACAUUGGAACUGAGACACGGUCCAA
This 253-nucleotide ribosomal RNA is filed under the name uncultured bacterium. RNAcentral describes it as "partial 16S ribosomal RNA". It matches the Rfam family "Bacterial small subunit ribosomal RNA", at positions 79 to 334 of the family's 1533-position model. The record is from RNAcentral.